GGCUACCCUCUGCUUCCUGUUUCCAGGUAGCUAAUCUCGCAGCCAGCUCGAGUUGCAGACUUCUCUCCAACUCUCGCACGGCAUUCAGUGAGUCAGCCGUCGUAGACACAACACCCUCUCAAACACUCCGUCUCAAGGUAGCUUACAAGCUAAAGAUUUUUUAAAAAUUGUUUCAACAGUCCUUGGAAGACCAAUUGUUCAAGGGGAAUGGAUGCCAGCAUAAACAUGGAAGAAGCUAAUAAAAAGAUGUUCAAGCACACAACCCUAGUUAGGAGAAUUGGCCCUUUUUACACCAGAUUGCCUCUUUGAAAAGAAGAUGUUUGGGCCACCUCAAAGGGAUCCAGCAUGGGAGCAUAUGAAAUUCAUAUUGAGGUCAACCAAGAAAGCAUAAACAUGCUGAGCAAGCUUUCAAAGUUCUCCUUCACUAUCAGCAGGCAAGAGGAAAUGAGUAGGUGGCAUGGGAGGAAAGGAAAGCUGAUGAUCAAGUAGGACUGAUGAGAUGUUAGGUUUCAAAUGUUAUAAAAUCUGCAAGGGCACUGGAGACACUGCAGUGGUGGUUGGUGGCCUUCAUAGCAGCAGGAUAAGGUAGUGGUCUGCAAAUGUCAGGCUUUAUAAACAUUUAUGACAACCUCGUUAAUAACCGAAGCUCAGUGAAGACUAUGAAGGGUGAUGUUAAUUAAUUGUCUCCAGGAACAUGAAACUAGCUAUCAACUUCAUUUUAUACAAAUCUCUUUCCCAGAUAAUUUGAUACAAAUGCUUCCACUUCAAAACAAGUGACUUCUUGGUAAUUAUUUUUCACUGAACAAAUAAGACAGAUAACAAAGGUGUCUUUCAAUCAGGGUGACAAAUACUGCAGAUUUUCUAUCACAUUUAGAGUAGUGGAAAAGUCAAAAUAGUAAUGCAUUAUUACUAUUGUUAUUGUUCUUAUCAUUUUUUGACAGGCAUAGAUUUCAUGGAAAACAUACCUAUGUAUAUCUCCAGAGGCAGGAAAAUACAGCUAUAUUUGCUUUUACUUUUUCUGUUUCUAGUGAAAUUGUUUUGACAGCUACAGGAUAUUGGGCUGACUCAAACCAAGAAACCUGAUAUGGUGGUUGUACAACAGAAAAAUAUAAAGAUGCUGCAAAUUUCCUCCCAAAGCUUAUCCUAGCUAGAAACUGACAAGGAGCAUAUUUCAAGGAAAGUAAAGUAAUAUUCUUGUUUGAAAGUAUGUGUAUGAACAACAUGUUAAGCAAAUAAAAGGGCACAUAUUGUAGAAGACAGUUCUAUUGUCAAGAUUCCAGCUUUUGUACUACUGUUGUUAGAUUCUUAUCCUUCUAAAUGUUUCAAGUGAAAAAAAUAUUUUGUACACAUCCCUCCUCAAUGCAUUUAUUUCUAGAUUGUGGGUUUAUAUCCCACUUUUCUGCUAAGGCUAGGCUGACAGGCAGUUUCUGACAUAAUUAAAAAUUGUUCCAAUGAAAACAUAA
Anolis carolinensis (green anole) is the source of this 1463-nucleotide long non-coding RNA. RefSeq lists it as uncharacterized. The record is from RefSeq and is a predicted model, not a curated record. Lineage: Eukaryota; Metazoa; Chordata; Lepidosauria; Squamata; Anolidae. The transcript has 3 exons.